Molecule: non-coding RNA, 227 nt
Organism: Pelobates cultripes (western spadefoot toad)
Lineage: Eukaryota; Metazoa; Chordata; Amphibia; Anura; Pelobatidae
Source: the annotation of a GenBank genome assembly
GAGGUCAAUACCAGCCUAUGCCCCCUAUGUCUGGAAUUUUAGCACAGGGGGAGAUGAGACAAGGAAAUAUGUUGUGAGCUCACUGUGGCAACGAGCCCAAAAUCUGCCCCCAGUGCCAUGGCCAGAAGCACAGAUCUUAAACACAUUACUGACCUUACAGCUCACGCACUGACUGCCCAUUGUAAGUCAACCCCCACCCAUCCUUUUAUUAUUGCUCUAUAUUCACC